GAACUGCGAUAAGUAAUGUGAAUUGCAGAAUUCAGUGAAUCAUCGAGUCUUUGAACGCACAUUGCGCCCCCUGGCAUUCCGGGGGGCAUGCCUGUCCGAGCGUCAUUGCUGCCCUUCAAGCCCGGCUUGUGUGUUGGGUCGUCGUCCCCUCCGGGGGACGGGCCCGAAAGGCAGCGGCGGCACCGCGUCCGGUCCUCGAGCGUAUGGGGCUUUGUCACCCGCUCGAUAAGGUCCGGCCGGGCGCCAGCCGGCGUCUCCAACCUUUUUUUCUCAGGUUGACCUCGGAUCAGGUAGGGAUACCCGCUGAACUUAAGC
RNAcentral lists this unclassified non-coding RNA (315 nucleotides) under plant metagenome. Its description in RNAcentral is "partial contains 5.8S ribosomal RNA, internal transcribed spacer 2, and large subunit ribosomal RNA". The stretch from base 1 to 105 matches the Rfam family "5.8S ribosomal RNA", at positions 50 to 154 of the family's 154-position model. The record is from RNAcentral.